RNAcentral lists this ribosomal RNA (292 nucleotides) under uncultured bacterium. Its description in RNAcentral is "partial 16S ribosomal RNA". It matches the Rfam family "Bacterial small subunit ribosomal RNA", at positions 505 to 796 of the family's 1533-position model. The record is from RNAcentral.
GUGUCAGCCGCCGCGGUAAUACGGAGGAUCCAAGCGUUAUCCGGAUUCAUUGGGUUUAAAGGGUGCGUAGGCGGACUGAUAAGUCAGCGGUGAAAUCUCUCGGCUUAACCGAGAAACUGCCGUUGAUACUGUCAGUCUUGAGUACAGAUGAUGUGGGCGGAAUAUGACAUGUAGUGGUGAAAUACUUAGAUAUGUCAUAGAACACCGAUUGCGAAGGCAGCUCACAAAACUGUCACUGACGCUGAGGCACGAAAGCGUGGGGAUCAAACAGGAUUAGAAACCCCCGUAGUCC